This 507-nucleotide ribosomal RNA is filed under the name uncultured bacterium. RNAcentral's name for it is "bacterial SSU rRNA". It matches the Rfam family "Bacterial small subunit ribosomal RNA", at positions 394 to 917 of the family's 1533-position model. The record is from RNAcentral.
CUGCCGCGUGAAUGAUGAAGGCCUUAGGGUUGUAAAGUUCUUUCCCGGAGAAGAUAAUGACGGUACCUGCAGAAAAAGCACCGGCUAACUACGUGCCAGCAGCCGCGGUAAUACGUAGGGUGCAAGCGUUAUCCGGAAUUAUUGGGCGUAAAGAGCUCGUAGGCGGUUUGUCGCGUCUGCUGUGAAACCCCGAGGCUCAACCUCGGGCCUGCAGUGGGUACGGGCAGACUAGAGUGCGGUAGGGGAGAUUGGAAUUCCUGGUGUAGCGGUGGAAUGCGCAGAUAUCAGGAGGAACACCGAUGGCGAAGGCAGAUCUCUGGGCCGUAACUGACGCUGAGGAGCGAAAGGGUGGGGAGCAAACAGGCUUAGAUACCCUGGUAGUCCACCCCGUAAACGUUGGGAACUAGUUGUGGGGUCCAUUCCACGGAUUCCGUGACGCAGCUAACGCAUUAAGUUCCCCGCCUGGGGAGUACGGCCGCAAGGCUAAAACUCAAAGGAAUUGACGGA